Aricia agestis (brown argus) is the source of this 86-nucleotide long non-coding RNA. RefSeq lists it as uncharacterized. Lineage: Eukaryota; Metazoa; Arthropoda; Insecta; Lepidoptera; Lycaenidae. The record is from RefSeq and is a predicted model, not a curated record. The transcript is spliced from 3 exons.
CUAACACGCACACGUAAACAUAUUUGUACCUACACACAGAUGUAAAUCAAUUUCGGUUUCUUGUCGAGAUUGUUGCUCUAUUCCGC